RNAcentral lists this long non-coding RNA (3058 nucleotides) under Equus asinus (donkey). Its description in RNAcentral is "lncRNA (ENSEASG00005024761.1)". Lineage: Eukaryota; Metazoa; Chordata; Mammalia; Perissodactyla; Equidae. The record is from RNAcentral.
GACGUCCCUGGACGGAUUGGCCAAGGUAGUGCGUCCAGGCGCACGGGACGCUAGGGUAGCGCGCAGCUGGGUUGGCUGCCUGCGUCGCGCAGGCGGUGGGUCUUUCGUCCUCGGACGUGACGGUUGGUCUCUCCGAGUGCCGGAAGCGGCGAGGGCACGCUCGAGAACCUGGGUCUGGCGUGGAAGGCGCUGGCCGACCGGACGUCAGCCGUGCGGCCGCGGCGCGAGCUACGUGCGGCCCGAGGCCCGAGGCCCGAGGCCUCUCGUCGUGAAACGUGCGCGAGGCGUCGAGCUGGCCGGGCGGGGGCAGGCCGCGCGCCCCGGCGGGAGGACGGCGGUCGGCGGUGACCUACACCGUGGCUCCCGACGCGGGACGCUGGGGGGCUUUGGGUUCGCUCGAGUUCCGCUUCCUUCCGUGCGCCCGCCGCUCGUCCAGGGGACUCAGCCGCGGAGGGGAGCCCGCGACCCCUCAUCUGGGGGGACUCACUGGGGCUGGAGGAGAGCCUGCGACCCCGUCCCCGUGCUCGAGGAGUGGAGGACGCUCCGCCGCCAGGCCACCCACCAGCCGGAGCCCGGGCAGCCUCAUCACCUCUCAGACCCUCAGUCUCAUUGGCGGAGCGGGAACCAUGGACAGCCCUGCUCUCAAAGGGCCGCCCGGAAGGUUCCACCAGGGGUGUGCACAACCCUGAGAACAGUGCUCGUCCUGUGGGAAACCGUGGAGAACUUCAGACUCCUCUGGGCAGCUAGAUUGUGCUCUCCCCACUCUUACCCAGUAACUUCCCUGGAUGGGGACACCUGACGAUAACAGCCAACCCAGGGGCUGACGAGCAUCCAAGAAGACCCAAGGGUUCCCAGAGUUGCCUCAUUACGGGGUGACUGAUGGACUUUCCAAGAGCAGCUGGCCUGAAGCCCCUCGGCUGACAGUGAGCAGGAACAAGAGCCAACGCCUCCUCCGUGCUCAGGAACAAAGGGAGGAGUUCAAGGGACAGACGCCCUCUGCUCCUGUCCCCUUCCCACAACCCAGGCUAAAAGGGCAGCCCUUCCAUACCUCCUGAGGCUUCACUUUGCUCAUGGAUCUUGGCACCUAGUGUCAGUGCAGACACCAAGGACACACCCUGACUGGUGGCAGUGCAGACACCUAGGACACACCCUGACUCAAACCAGGAGUUCACUGUGAGAUUGUCUCUGAGUCAGUUAAGGGAAGCCCCGCUGAAAUGUCCUGACGUGCAGAGUUCAGAGAGUGGAGGAAGUACAAAUGAGUAAACAGAAGUUAGGAAGUACAGAAAGAACAGAGAGAGCAGGUGACAGAAAUGGCUGAAAGUGAAGCUGACAUCCUGGCAGGAGAUGAUGCCUCUGAAGUGGGGCCUGAGAGCCAAGGGAGGCCUGGGGAGCCAGUUGUCCUACAGACCAUCCCUUCUAGGGGCCAGGUCAUGGGGCAUCUGAAUCCUUAAACUAACCCCUAUUGCCAAAAGCACAGGAGCCUCCCUCUGGGCCACUGCAGAGGGGAACUGGAGCAGGGUGGGUUCAUUCAAGCUCACCUCUCACCUGAGGCCUGGAACACAGCCAGCCUUCAAAGCACACUUGUUAAAUAAAUGUUUCAAUAAAUGGAUCAAUAGUCUGUUUUCCCAAAACCUCAUUUCCCACAACAUCCUAGGAAUAACUCACAGAUAUGAAGGGCUGGCUUCCCAGUUGACAAGUUGCUCUCACAUACUUUUAUUGCAUUUUAUCUUUACAACAACCCUAUGGGAAAGCCAAAGCUGACAUUAGCCUCAUUUUGCAGAUAAUUGUUAUCCCCAUUUUGCUGAUGAGAAAGUUGAGGCUGGGAGAAGGUCAUGACUUGCUCAAGGUCAUAGGCUGAGAAGGACAGAAGCCAGGGUUCCUUCCCCAGAGGCUUGUCAUUCACCCUGCACUGUUUCCAACUGAAUGGCCGGGCAAAGAGGUUCGACCACAGUAACAAUUUUAUCUCAAACAAUAGUUAGAGGAUUGCAUCUUGUACUCUUCUCCAAAACAUGCAAGUAUGCUAGAGGCUUUGAGUCACAAACCCUCUGAGCAGAGUGAUGAGGGAACAGGGGUGAGGGCGAGGGGCCUGGUCCCUUCCUGUCAGGGUGGUGUUGCACAAGCUUCUAGAGGGUGCAAGAAACCACAGGGAAGUUUGCCUACAGUCACAGUCACGGGACCGGUCUGGGGAGAGUGAGGGCAGGACACAGCCAGCCCGAAGGCAGAAAGUGGGCGGGACAAUCUAACCAGCGACAGAAAAAAUCCUGGAGGAGGAGCUGGGGAGGACGAAAUGACUGUGAAGGAAGACUGCAGGACGACAAGGCAGUUCAGCCGUGUAGUUCGCCUGGCCCCGGCUUAGGGCUGCUCCCUCCACGAACCAUCCACAAAUAAGGACCUCACAAAGGCACCGCUGCCUGAGAGCUGAGGACCAGUAAUCAGGACACUUCGUUUAAAAAGUGUCCCCAGCCCUCUCUGGUUUCAGGGGAGGGCGGGGAGGGCUGCAGCGUCACCAGGUGACUGUUGCAGCAGCGCAUGGCGGGGGCGCGGGCCGGGAACCAGUCAGACCGGCCCUGAAACGCGGUCCUCGCUCCUUAGCCGCGACUUUGGACAGGCGAGUCUCCCUUUCCCGAGUCUGUUUCGUUGCCGGUAACGCAGUUUUUAAAGACGUUUACUUCGCAGAGUGAAUAUGACAUGAGUGUUCGGACGGAGCCGGGCACCGGGGCGCUCUCGGCAGGACUGCUCACUGUUACGGUCACUCGCCGCUGGGGAUUCGGGGAAAACAGAAAAGCACAGAAAUAAGCGUCUGUCACACGUCCACCCGGCCCGCCCUUCCAGCCCUCGGCGGCCCCUGAGCUCGGUGCCGCUCCGGCCCUCGGCCCUCCGACAGUCCGACCCCGUGCACGGACCACCGACCGCGGGCACGCGGACAGGCCUGCGGCCUCACCGCCGCCAAGACCAGGCCGGGCCGGGGUUGUGGUGCGUGGUCGGAGUCGGCGUUAGGGCCGGGUCGGGGGUCCAGGCCGGGGUCUGGCGCCCGCUCCCCUCGAGCUCCCGGCUCUGC